GACGAACGCUGGCGGCGUGCUUAACACAUGCAAGUCGAACGGUAAGGCCCUUCGGGGUACACGAGUGGCGAACGGGUGAGUAACACGUGGGUGAUCUGCCCUGCACUUCGGGAUAAGCCUGGGAAACCGGGUCUAAUACCGGAUAGGACUCCUGGCUUCAUGGUUGGGGGUGGAAAGCUUUUGCGGUGUGGGAUGGGCCCGCGGCCUAUCAGCUUGUUGGUGGGUAAUGGCCUACCAAGGCGACGACGGGUAGACGGCCUGAGAGGGUGACCGGUCACACUGGGACUGAGAUACGGCCCAGACUCCUACGGGAGGCAGCAGUGGGGAAUAUUGCACAAUGGGCGCAAGCCUGAUGCAGCGACGCCGCGUGAGGGAUGACGGCCUUCGGGUUGUAAACCUCUUUCAGCUAUGACGAAGCGCAAGUGACGGUAGUAGCAGAAGAAGGACCGGCCAACUACGUGCCAGCCGCCGCAGUAA
RNAcentral lists this ribosomal RNA (477 nucleotides) under uncultured bacterium. RNAcentral describes it as "partial 16S ribosomal RNA". It matches the Rfam family "Bacterial small subunit ribosomal RNA", at positions 28 to 523 of the family's 1533-position model. The record is from RNAcentral.